Non-coding RNA from Microcebus murinus (gray mouse lemur), 1618 nucleotides. Lineage: Eukaryota; Metazoa; Chordata; Mammalia; Primates; Cheirogaleidae. The record is from RefSeq and is a predicted model, not a curated record.
CUGACCCGCCGGCUGGCUUGCCUCCUCCUUGCCGUCUGGAUCUCGACAGUACUGAAACAGAUCCUCGGUUUGCUGAGCCUGCAGGUGUUGAACGAACAAACAAAUGGCUGCAAGGAAGAAGGUCAGUGCAUGGGGUCGUGCCUUUCCCUGUCUACAGGACAGUGAGUGCCUUCUGCCUGGGUCAUAACAAAGCCUUGUGGAGAGAAGAUUUCAGGGAGUCAAGGCUGGGGACUUCAGUGUGGGGGAGCCUGUCUUCCUGAGGGCAUCCAAAGUCUUCAAGCCACCUGCCCCUUCCAUACUGCUCAUGGCUACCAAGGAAACCCAACAUCCUGAGGUAUGAGAGGGAAAAGGGCUCUGUCUUCCUCGAUGUUUGCAUUUCCAAGAGAUGGCUACAAGGUCCUUGAGAAAAAACAUCCCAGGUCAUAAAAUCAGCGAGAGGCUUAUUUAGCUUUUUAAAAAGAUUCUCAUACACUUCAAAGAAACAGAGACUUAACAAUAACACAUUUUCUAAAAUAAAUCCUCUGAGAACAAAGGACAAGGAGUCGUCUCUUCCUGAAUUUUCGGCAGGGAGAAAUUUGUUUUUCCACUUGUAUUUACCUUUACACUGAUAAUGUUUCAUUUUUGGAUUUGGGACCUGUUUAGUAGGUAUGUUUACCUGUAAAAUUUUGAAUUUUCUGGAAUGUAAUACUUUUAAAACAAAAAGACAAGGGAAAAAAUGUUGAGUAAGUAAAAACAACCUUUGUACAUCACAUGAGGAUUGAAAAUAACAAAGUGAAGCGGUCUGAUUUGGGUACUAGAAAGAUCCUUCUAGCAGCCAUGUGGAAGAUGGGUGGAGAAAGAGGAAGCCUGACACAGGAGGCAGAUGCAGUCAUCAGGAGAGCCACCAGCUGGGGAUCGAGGGGACAGGGGGUCUGGUGAGAAAUCUAGGCAGGUGUGGGAGAGCAGGAAAGAUUCCCAACUGUUUGUCCAGGAUACAGGGUGGAAACCAAAUGAGGAAGCCCCAACAACCAUGGAUGUGGAUCAAGAUUUCAGCCCAGGGGGCAGGUGCAGAUGUGGGUUUGGAGCUCAGAAUGGAGAUUCAGAAACGGCAGGAACUUCUUGGGGAGAAGUGAAGGCCGCCUGCCUGAGUCACCACCCUUGUCCUCUGCAGUUAAGCCUGCCCUGGCCACCAGCCCACCCAAGAAACUGCUUCCCAAGAGGAAGAAUGGAUGGAACUUUUUGAAAUGUGCCUACAUGGUGAUGACCUUCCUGUUCACCUCCUACAACAAGGGGGACUGGUGCUACUGCCACUACUGUAACCCGGACCUGGACAUCAGAAAUGACCCCUGCUGUUCUUUCUAGUGACCCUGCUUCAUCUCAGCCUCCAUGUCCAUCCAUGGCCUCCAUGUCCCAGGUGCUGUCACCUCCUCGGAAAGCUCUCCGUGCCCUGGACUGUCCAUGUGGGGUGAAGAGUGGGGUCUUCUUGCAAAAGGACUGACACCCUCUGCCUGGGGCUGGCGGGAAGGUGCCUCUGGGGGUCCAGAGAACUUAGUGUCUGCAGGGGUGUCCCCUGCUCUUCCCCACAGCCUUGUCACAGCCCUCCCCAGUUUCUGUAAUAAAAUGUACACUUGCUGAAGCA